AGAGUUUGAUCAUGGCUCAGGAUGAACGCUAGCUACAGGCUUAACACAUGCAAGUCGAGGGGCAGCAUGGUCUUAGCUUGCUAAGGCCGAUGGCGACCGGCGCACGGGUGAGUAACGCGUAUCCAACCUGCCUUACACUCUUGGACAGCCUUCUGAAAGGGAGAUUAAUACAAGAUGUUAUCAUGAGUAAGCAUUUUCGCAUGAUUAAAGGUUUACCGGUGUAAGAUGGGGAUGCGUUCCAUUAGAUAGUAGGCGGGGUAACGGCCCACCUAGUCUUCGAUGGAUAGGGGUUCUGAGAGGAAGGUCCCCCAUAUUGGAACUGAGACACGGUCCAAACUCCUACGGGAGGCAGCAGUGAGGAAUAUUGGUCAAUGGACGAGAGUCUGAACCAGCCAAGUAGCGUGAAGGAUGAAGGUUCUAUGGAUUGUAAACUUCUUUUAUACGGGAAUAAACGAAUCCACGUGUGGAUUUUUGCAUGUACCGUAUGAAUAAGGAUCGGCUAACUCCGUGCCAGCAGCCGCGGUAAUACGGAGGAUCCGAGCGUUAUCCGGAUUUAUUGGGUUUAAAGGGAGCGUAGAUGGGUUGUUAAGUCAGUUGUGAAAGUUUGCGGCUCAACCGUAAAAUUGCAAUUGAUACUGGCAGUCUUGAGUACAGUUGAGGUAGGCGGAAUUCGUGGUGUAGCGGUGAAAUGCUUAGAUAUCACGAAGAACUCCGAUUGCGAAGGCAGCUUACUAACCUGUAACUGACAUUGAUGCUCGAAAGUGUGGGUAUCAAACAGGAUUAGAUACCCUGGUAGUCCACACGGUAAACGAUGAAUACUCGCUGUAGGCGAUAUACAGUCUGCGGCCAAGCGAAAGCAUUAAGUAUUCCACCUGGGGAGUACGCCGGCAACGGUGAAACUCAAAGGAAUUGACGGGGGCCCGCACAAGCGGUGGAGUAUGUGGUUUAAUUCGACGCAACGCGAAGGACCUUACCAGGGCUUGACAUUGAGUGAAAGGACAAGAGAUUGUCCCCUCUCUUCGGAGACACGAAAACAGGUGGUGCAUGGCUGUCGUCAGCUCGUGUCGUGAGAUGUUGGGUUAAGUCCCGCAACGAGCGCAACCCCUAUUCUUUGUUGCCAGCACGUUAUGGUGGGAACUCAAAGGAGACUGCCGCGGACAACGCGGAGGAAGGCGGGGAUGACGUCAAGUCAUCAUGCCCCUUAUGUCCUGGGCUACACACGUACUACAAUGGGAUGGACAGAGAGUAGCGAAGCCGCGAGGCCAAGCGAACCCCAUAAACCAUCUCCCAGUUCGGAUUGCAGGCUGCAACCCGCCUGCAUGAAGUUGGAAUCGCUAGUAAUCGCAGGUCAGCAUACUGCGGUGAAUACGUUCCCGGGCCUUGUACACACCGCCCGUCACACCACGGAAGUCAUUCACACCCGAAGCCGGCAGGCUAACCUUUAUGGAGGCAGCCGUCUAAGGUGGGGGCGAUGACUGGGGUGAAGUCGUAACAAGGUA
This 1499-nucleotide ribosomal RNA is filed under the name metagenome. RNAcentral describes it as "bacterial SSU rRNA". It matches the Rfam family "Bacterial small subunit ribosomal RNA". The record is from RNAcentral.